This is a long non-coding RNA of Ornithorhynchus anatinus (platypus), 620 nucleotides long. RefSeq lists it as uncharacterized. The record is from RefSeq and is a predicted model, not a curated record. The transcript is spliced from 4 exons. Lineage: Eukaryota; Metazoa; Chordata; Mammalia; Monotremata; Ornithorhynchidae.
AGGCAAGAAUUCUAGAGACUCGAGUCGCCAAAAUACAAUAUGAUUUAAGCUGUAGCAGGCCUUCCAUCCACCCCAUCCUCUAACUCUAAUAAUCCAGAGCAGCUCACGAUCCUUUGGAUUCGGCUAAUGCUCCUUGGAUUUUCGAGUGUGAAUGUCAGCCCGGGUGUCUGUAGUUGCUGCCUUUAGGAAGCCCCCUUCACUCUCCGCCCCCCAUGGGAGGAAUCCUUAGUCGAUCAGGAUCUGGUUGAAAUCUUCUAAAUUCACAUCAGGAUGCAAUGAUGCCAUGGAUAAUCUUUGACAUGGAUCAUUGCGGCAGAAGCAGGGGAUAUUCUUCGGGCCACGCGAACCCAUCUAGAUAUAACGCAACGUGGUGUGGUUGGAAGAAACAACACGCUUGAGCCGUCAGAUACAGGUUGGUUGGUCUUGAUCAUCAGUUGGGGAUCUGUGCUCUAAAUCUAGCCCCGUCUCCGUGGCAACAUCUGAAGAACAGGUGCGGUAGGACAGAGCUCUGAAACGAAGGUGGUUUUACAGUCCAGGCAAAGCAGAACCUGCAUCGAAAUGAAGCUCUUCGGCCGCAAUAACGGAAAGUUUCCACAAGCUACCGUUCACACAUAAUAAAC